GAUGAACGCUGGCGGCAUGCCUAACACAUGCAAGUCGAGCGGUAAGGCUCUUCGGAGUACACGAGAGGCGGACGGCCGAGUAACGCGUAGGAACACACCCUGCAGACAGGGAUGAGACACCGAACGGCGUUCUAAUACCGCAUAUGGCCUUCGGAAUAAAGGAUCUGUGCGCUGAAGUAGGAGAGUGCGUCAUAUUAGAUGGUUGGUGAGGUAAUGGCACACCAUGUCGAGGUUGUGUAGAUGGUCUGAGAGAAUGAGCAGCCAGACUGGAACUAAGACACGGUACAGAAUCCUACGGGAGGGAGGAGAGAGGGAUAGAGCAAAACGAGCGAAAGGAUGAUGGUGCAAGGACGGGUACAGGAUGAAGUCACGCGAGUUGUAAACUGCUUGUAUAAGAGAAGGUUAUGACGGUAACUUAUGAAUAAGGGACGGCUAACUACGUG
RNAcentral lists this ribosomal RNA (443 nucleotides) under uncultured bacterium. RNAcentral describes it as "partial 16S ribosomal RNA". It matches the Rfam family "Bacterial small subunit ribosomal RNA", at positions 28 to 507 of the family's 1533-position model. The record is from RNAcentral.